GAUGAACGCUGGCGGCGUGCCUAAUACAUGCAAGUCGAGCGAACGGACGAGGAGCUUGCUCCUUUGACGUUAGCGGCGGACGGGUGAGUAACACGUGGAUAACCUACCUAUAAGACUGGGAUAACUUCGGGAAACCGGAGCUAAUACCGGAUAAUAUAUUGAACCGCAUGGUUCAAUAGUGAAAGACGGUUUUGCUGUCACUUAUAGAUGGAUCCGCGCCGCAUUAGCUAGUUGGUAAGGUAACGGCUUACCAAGGCAACGAUGCGUAGCCGACCUGAGAGGGUGAUCGGCCACACUGGAACUGAGACACGGUCCAGACUCCUACGGUAGGCAGCAGUAGGGAAUCUUCCGCAAAGGGCGAAAGCCUGACGGAGCAACGCCGCGUGAGUGAUGAAGGUCUUCGGAUCGUAAAACUCUGUUAUUAGGGAAGAACAAAUGUGUAAGUAACUAUGCACGUCUUGACGGUACCUAAUCAGAAAGCCACGGCUAACUACGUG
RNAcentral lists this ribosomal RNA (497 nucleotides) under uncultured bacterium. Its description in RNAcentral is "partial 16S ribosomal RNA". It matches the Rfam family "Bacterial small subunit ribosomal RNA", at positions 28 to 507 of the family's 1533-position model. The record is from RNAcentral.